GACGAACGCUGGCGGCGUGCUUAACACAUGCAAGUCGAACGGAAAGGCCCUGCUUUUGUGGGGUGCUCGAGUGGCGAACGGGUGAGUAACACGUGAGUAACCUGCCCUUGACUUUGGGAUAACUUCAGGAAACUGGGGCUAAUACCGGAUAGGAGCUCCUGCUGCAUGGUGGGGGUUGGAAAGUUUCGGCGGUUGGGGAUGGACUCGCGGCUUAUCAGCUUGUUGGUGGGGUAGUGGCUUACCAAGGCUUUGACGGGUAGCCGGCCUGAGAGGGUGACCGGCCACAUUGGGACUGAGAUACGGCCCAGACUCCUACGGGAGGCAGCAGUGGGGAAUAUUGCACAAUGGGCGGAAGCCUGAUGCAGCAACGCCGCGUGCGGGAUGACGGCCUUCGGGUUGUAAACCGCUUUCGCCUGUGACGAAGCGUGAGUGACGGUAAUGGGUAAAGAAGCACCGGCUAACUACGUGCCAGCAGCCGCGGUGAUACGUAGGGUGCGAGCGUUGUCCGGAUUUAUUGGGCGUAAAGGGCUCGUAGGUGGUUGAUCGCGUCGGAAGUGUAAUCUUGGGGCUUAACCCUGAGCGUGCUUUCGAUACGGGUUGACUUGAGGAAGGUAGGGGAGAAUGGAAUUCCUGGUGGAGCGGUGGAAUGCGCAGAUAUCAGGAGGAACACCAGUGGCGAAGGCGGUUCUCUGGGCCUUUCCUGACGCUGAGGAGCGAAAGCGUGGGGAGCGAACAGGCUUAGAUACCCUGGUAGUCCACGCUGUAAACGGUGGGUACUAGGUGUGGGGUCCAUUCCACGGGUUCCGUGCCGUAGCUAACGCUUUAAGUACCCCGCCUGGGGAGUACGGCCGCAAGGCUAAAACUCAAAGGAAUUGACGGGGCCCCGCACAAGCGGCGGAGCAUGCGGAUUAAUUCGAUGCAACGCGUAGAACCUUACCUGGGUUUGACAUGGAUCGGAAGCGCCCAGAGAUGGGUGUGCCUCUUUUGGGGUCGGUUCACAGGUGGUGCAUGGCUGUCGUCAGCUCGUGUCGUGAGAUGUUGGGUUAAGUCCCGCAACGAGCGCAACCCUUGUUCACUGUUGCCAGCACGUUAUGGUGGGGACUCAGUGGAGACCGCCGGGGUCAACUCGGAGGAAGGUGGGGAUGACGUCAAGUCAUCAUGCCCCUUAUGUCCAGGGCUUCACGCAUGCUACAAUGGCUGGUACAGAGAGUGGCGAGCCUGUGAGGGUGAGCGAAUCUCGGAAAGCCGGUCUCAGUUCGGAUUGGGGUCUGCAACUCGACCUCAUGAAGUCGGAGUCGCUAGUAAUCGCAGAUCAGCAACGCUGCGGUGAAUACGUUCCCGGGGCU
This 1346-nucleotide ribosomal RNA is filed under the name uncultured bacterium. Its description in RNAcentral is "bacterial SSU rRNA". It matches the Rfam family "Bacterial small subunit ribosomal RNA", at positions 28 to 1381 of the family's 1533-position model. The record is from RNAcentral.